CAUUUUACUUAGUCUUCACAAGUUGCGGAGUUCCAUACAGAGAGAACAAAUAAUGCAUUUCUUCAAAAAUGAAAUCUUAGUACCUUCAAUCCCUACAGUGCACCAAAUUCACAGUUAUGUGACAUUUCACAGCAAGUUCUUCCUUCUAUCUCUUUCUGUUCGAGGUGUGAGCUGUUGGGGUUUGUUUUGCAGGGGUGAACUAUCAUGUCCUGAUUAGGGCUUCUCGUUCUCUGCUUCGGAUGUUCUAUGUACCCGACUCUUCGUGCGGGUGAUAUUAUCUUUCGUUGGAAAGAUUUUGUAGGACCUGAAGUUAGCUGCUACAUACUCAAAAGAGUUGUAAUUGAAGGGGUCCUGAGGGUUAUUUAUCAUGAAAAGAAUUCCAUUCCUUGUGCUUGUUGUAAUCUCAGAUUUCAACAUUUUAAUUGAGUAUGCUAUUAUGCAUCCCCCAGAUGCUGAAAGUUGUACAGAUUGGAUUCGAGAGUAUUCUGUAGGUGAUGCACACCGUUUUGGCGAAGCGGAGGGGAGAAAACACAUGCAUCUGGUCAUAAAGGAAAUUCUGCGUCAAAAGAUAUUUGAAGUUCUGAACUAGUAAAUAUUUUGCUCUCACAUGAGUAGAAGACGUGGAUGGCCGCACUUCAUCUUUUAUGAGAGAGUUGAUUCGCGAUCAAUCGGUGACCAAGUCCGAUCGAUCGGAACACGUGCAGGAGCACCUUUUCUUGAAUGUUAAGAAAAGGAGAGAAGGAAAAUAAUUGGAGGAGGAGGCCAUAUCACCUAUAUUUCUUGUUUGGCUUUCUCUCAUUCAAGACUUGAGCUUUAUUGGGGAUUCCGUUGUCGCAACCAAACAAAACUUAGUAAAAGAAUAUCUUACUUGAUUCUUGGAGCCAAAAUGAAGGGACAAGAUGGCAUAGUACAUUGUGCAUCCAUGGCUGAGAAUUAAAGAAGGAUUAGAGGAUCAGAUUUAAAGAUUCAUGUGUAUCCAAUGGCUGUUAUACAAAGAAGCAAAGUUGUCAACUUUGAGAAGGUGUCCCAACGGCAAUUAAAUGGAUGGUGGGAUUUGUUUCUCAAGUAACAUCAACGGAGCAGAUUGUAAGCAUCAAAUGAAUGGCUGAGUUUGAAGAUUAAGUUCAAUCCAACGGCUGAGCUUGUAAGAGACAAUUUUAUCAAAAGAGGUGUUCUCCUUCCUCACAUUUGGAGAAGCAUUUGCAAUCAAGAGAAAACUUUGUUCAAGCAUUCAAGCAUCCAUUGUCUACUGAAAUCCCAGCUUCUUCCUGAACCACUAGUCAAGGCCUUCUCACUAUUUUGCUGCCGCAAAGAGAGGGUGCUUCUACUUAGGCUCAAGUUGUUACUUCUUCCAAAAUCACCUCACCUCACCUACUUGUAAAUCCUACCCGUGAGUGUGUGAUUGUUGUUAUUGAGAGUUCUUCACUUAAAUAGCUUAGUGCUAGUUGUGAUGCUAGCUGUGAGAACCUUGGCUGAAAACCCUAUUGAGAAAGUCUCUUUGUUAGCGCAAAUUGUAAAGUUUGAGGGAGUUCUUAGAAACCCUUGGUGUAGUUGAGUUUUGUGGGACUCUUGGCAAAAUCACACCUUAGUGGAGGUUGGAAAUCCUAGGUUGGUGAACCUAGGUAGUAGACGUAGAAGAAAGGUCUCCGAACUACUCUAAAUCGCAGUGUCGAUUUUCUUGAUUGCUUGUUAAUUGACCAAGUGUUUAAUUGUUUUCUAAACCAUUUUGGUCAUUGCAAGACCUUGCAUUAAAACUGAUUUUCUGCCCUUGUGUGUUGAUCAUUUGCUUGAGGUUGUUAAUUGCAUUAGUAGAGGUUUCUCUAAACCAUUAGGUCAAGUGUUUUACUUGCAGAAUUUUCUGGACUACUAAUCUGUCAGUGCAUUGUUCACAUAGUUAGACUUUGAAUUUUGAUCUGAAAUUUUGAUAAUAGUGUUUAUCAAGGUGCUGUGACAUUGCAUGUAAAAUUUUGUUGCAUUUAGAUAUCAUUUGAUAGGUGAAAUCUGUGUUGCAAAAUCGGUGCGCAGUGUGUAGUUUGAAAAAUCUGUUUUGUGCAAUUCUUGAUUAUUUGAUAUUUGAUCUUUCACCAUAUUGUAUCACAUCUUGCAUUUGAUUGAAUACUGAUUAGGAUAAUCAUUAGAGUCCAAAGUUGUGUGCUAUUUGUUAAUUGACAUUGAUUGCUUUUUAAAUUACAAAAAGGGAUUCCUAUUGGAAUUUGGGGACACAAUUCACCCCUCUCUUGUGUUAAGUACGAUCCAUCAGAGGGAACCCUAUUUAUGAAGACAAUUGUUGCAAAAGCUGGAGAUGUUGUUCAGGAAACUUUCUUUCACCACUCCCCUUGUAGAUAUGUGUCUUGCAUUGUGUUCAUAGAUUCCAAAAUAAAUCAUUAACCUUGCACUAAAAUUUGAAUUGAUUGCUUAAUUUAGCAUGGUGAUUGUCACUUAAACUUUUCUCCCAUCUAUAAAUUUAAGUUUAGAAAACAAAAAAUGCAAUGCUAAGCACUCUCGUUCUGUUUCUAUUGGUGAAUGGUCUAACAUGUCUAAAGUCUUAAUCUGGAUACUUCUGUCACUAAUAGUUGGAAAAUGCAUUAGCUCAUCAUCCAUGUAUUGUUUAACCUGUCGCGUAAAAGAAAUGGAAACAAACCGGGGAAAUAUUAUUCUUUAGUUGAACUGUGUUCAUUUACUACUUUGCAGGUUUGCAAUGGAUUACUCUGUCAAUGGGCUCAGAAUGAAGAUUUCAUUGCAGAACCACCAAGAGACUCUACUGUGAGCCAUCCACAUGUUACUUCUUUGUUUCUACAUUACUGCAUUCUUUUUCAAUGCCCAGCACCAUUGUUCUUGAGCACAUCAUGGGGUCAAAUCUGCCUCUUCCACAAUUUUUGUAUUUGUUAAAAGCUAAAUCUAAAAAAAGUAAAUUACCUGUAUGUACUCUCUGCAAUUUAUUGCUAAAUUAGGUAGGUAAAUGUGGGCACGAUUCCGUAAGGUGUAGCUUAUGUCUUCUUACUUUUAAAUUUAUUGCAUUUCAGUAUUUCAGGGACUUGGAAUAAUGCACCAUAUACUUGGUUUGCCUCCUUUGCUCCUUAAGACAUUGUGGGUUGACAUUAGCUUUACAUUUUGUUAAUUUGCAGUAUGUGCCUAAAGAUCAUGUGUAUGUGUUGGGAGACAACCGCAACCACAGCAACGACUCCCAUAAAUGGUGGUUAUUUACGUCGUUUCGUUUAUUUUUCUUUCGUAUUCUAGGAGAGUAUCCAAGAAAAACUUGAUUCGAAGGGUCAUUGCGCCAUUGCUUACUACUGAUUUGUAUACAUUUUAAUUGAUUAUUUACUUCUUUCUGUUCUCAAUUCUCUUAUUGUAUCAAACUAUCAUCUACCGUGUUCCUCAGGGGACCAGUUCCUGUGAAAGACAUUGUUGAUUGUUGGAAGAUAUUUCAUGCAUCCUUAUAGGCUCUCGGAUUGGGAAUGAGGGGGCGUCCCGUGCACAUAUUAGCUCAUCUCAGGAGGAUAAUUAUUGAGAGCAGCUUACACUUGCAGAUUUAAGUUUUGAUUCUAAAACAAUUUUGUAAUUACCUGCCUAUUAAUAAGGAAGAAGCUGACUUAUUUCUACAUUGUAUUUAGAUUCUUUACUGGUUGCCUUCUUGAAUGAAAUCUGUAAUGUAACAUUGCAAAGCUUAUAUAACUAUAUAUGGUAGU
Molecule: RNA transcript, 3686 nt
Organism: Tripterygium wilfordii
Lineage: Eukaryota; Viridiplantae; Streptophyta; Magnoliopsida; Celastrales; Celastraceae
Gene name: probable thylakoidal processing peptidase 2, chloroplastic
Exons: 4
Source: RefSeq, a predicted model, not a curated record